UGGAAACCUGACACUCACCCUCAUUCA
This 27-nucleotide non-coding RNA is filed under the name Mus musculus (house mouse). Lineage: Eukaryota; Metazoa; Chordata; Mammalia; Rodentia; Muridae. The record is from RNAcentral.